GACGAACCCGUCCUAACGUUGUUCGGAAUCACUGGGCUUAAAGGGCGCGUAGGCAGGUUACCAAGUCAGGGGUGAAAUCUUUCGGCUUAACCGAAAAACAGCUUCUGAUACUGGUAGUCUAGAGGGAGGUAGGGGCAUGUGGAACUUCCGGUGGAGCGGUGAAAUGCGUUGAUAUCGGAAGGAACUCCGGUGGCGAAAGCGACGUGCUGGACCUCUUCUGACGCUGAGGCGCGAAAGCUAGGGGAGCAAACGGGAUUAGAACCU
This 264-nucleotide ribosomal RNA is filed under the name uncultured bacterium. Its description in RNAcentral is "partial 16S ribosomal RNA". It matches the Rfam family "Bacterial small subunit ribosomal RNA", at positions 524 to 786 of the family's 1533-position model. The record is from RNAcentral.